RNAcentral lists this ribosomal RNA (489 nucleotides) under uncultured bacterium. RNAcentral describes it as "partial 16S ribosomal RNA". It matches the Rfam family "Bacterial small subunit ribosomal RNA", at positions 355 to 836 of the family's 1533-position model. The record is from RNAcentral.
UGGGGAAUUUUGGACAAUGGGCGAAAGCCUGAUCCAGCAAUGCCGCGUGUGUGAAGAAGGCCUUCGGGUUGUAAAGCACUUUUGUCCGGAAAGAAAUCCUUGGCUCUAAUACAGUCGGGGGAUGACGGUACCGGAAGAAUAAGCACCGGCUAACUACGUGCCAGCAGCCGCGGUAAUACGUAGGGUGCAAGCGUUAAUCGGAAUUACUGGGCGUAAAGCGUGCGCAGGCGGUUUGCUAAGACCGAUGUGAAAUCCCCGGGCUCAACCCGGGAACUGCAUUGGUGACUGGCAGGCUAGAGUAUGGCAGAGGGGGGUAGAAUUCCACGUGUAGCAGUGAAAUGCGUAGAGAUGUGGAGGAAUACCGAUGGCGAAGGCAGCCCCCUGGGCCAAUACUGACGCUCAUGCACGAAAGCGUGGGGAGCAAACAGGAUUAGAUACCCUGGUAGUCCACGCCCUAAACGAUGUCAACUAGUUGUUGGGGAUUCAUUU